Oreochromis aureus is the source of this 1120-nucleotide long non-coding RNA. NCBI's taxonomy places the organism in Eukaryota, Metazoa, Chordata, Actinopteri, Cichliformes, Cichlidae. The record is from Ensembl.
GUACAUGAAUACGUGUGUGUGUGUGUGUGUAGAACUGUGUGAAUGGGAGGGGGGAGCCUCCCUCUGUCUCUUGUUCCUCAGUACCUGUCAUUGAUGAGGAGCCAAGGAGAAGCUUCAGCUUGAAGCUGUCAUCGGCCCUCUGAAUUUGUCUGCCUCACUCUAUCAACCCUCCCUCCUCCUUCCUCUCUCCCUCUCUCUCUCCCUCUCUCUCUGAUGUGGAUGCAGAGUGUGUGAGUCGUGAGCCAGCCAGCGAGCGUGUGUGUUGUGUGCCGCAGGAACCAUACAACCGCCUCUCGAGGUGUUUAAAUCUGAGACAUCGGCAGAGCGACUGGGGUGCAGGCAGCUCGCCGCCCUGACACCACUGAGACCCAUGCACCCUCUCCCGGACUGACAGGCCAAUCGCAAGCUGCCGCUCGCCCUCCCUUCAUCCAAAGUGUGCUCUCUCUCUUUCUCUGACUCGCUCACUCACACUCCCUCCUCCUCGUCUUCUUCCUCUCUCUCUCUCUCUCAUUCCUCUGUGCUCAAUCCGUGCAUCCCCUCCUCCUCCUCCUCCACCACCACCUCACACCUUUUGGUCAGAAGAGGAAGAGGAAGCCCAGCCCAGGGAGAGAUGCUGAAAGGAUGAAACUCUGACACGCCGACAGACCACAGGGAAACAAGAGCACAACUAUAAUUGCUAGAAGGAAGCACCCAGGAAGGUCAGCCAAGAACCUCGCUGUAGGUGCCAAAGUGAAAUCUACAGGACUACAAUUACUUGGACAGACUGAGGCAGCAGAGCAAAGUGAAUGACAGAUGUGUCUGCAUGCUGUUGACCGCAGUGGUUAAGGGAAUUUCAGACGUUUGUCCAUCUAAACACCAGCUGGUCUGAGUUUGACUGACUCAGACCCUCAGCAGAACAUCAAACAUCGGAGUAUCUCACUGCUUGGCUCCGUUUCACAUGAACAGAUCAAGGCUACCACAAUGUUUUCAUUCCAGUGGAAAUGUCACAUCAUUUCAAAGAGAACUUCUGUUUUAUUUAUAGCUAUCACCCUUUUAGUUUUGACUGCCUAAUAUGGACCUGGAAAAGCUCUAACCAAGCUAGCAAAAAGCAAAAGGGCCUUGCCUGCAAGAAGUAUAGCGC